AUGGAUGCAUGUCAUUUGUUACUGGAGAGACCAUGGCAAUAUGACCGUUGUGCCACACACGAAGGCCGGUCCAACACUUACUCCUUUUGGGAUGCUGGAAGACGACGUGUGUUGCGGACUAUGUUUGCGGGAGAAAUCAAAAUAGAUACAAAUGUUUCACUGGAAAAGAAGGUCAUGAAGUUCAGCGCAAAACCGAGGACGGUUUUGUUUCAAGGAGGAGGGGAUGAUGCGUCCACUACUACAUUAGCAAAAGUUGAUCAAGCUAAAUAUUCUAAUAUGAAAAUGAUGGGCGCCAUAGCACAUGAGAUUCCACCGGCACAUGAGAUUCCACCGGAAGAUGAUGUGAAACCCAACUUCAGAACGCCUCCACAGCAAAUUCUUAUUGGAUCGGUCCUCAUCAAUUAUUAUCCAGAGUCCUUGGAAAUAAAUCCCAGUGCACGACCCAGGAACCUAUCCGAAAAGCAUCAGGUUACCAAGAUGUAG
RNAcentral lists this ribosomal RNA (483 nucleotides) under Triticum aestivum (bread wheat). Its description in RNAcentral is "partial small subunit ribosomal RNA". Lineage: Eukaryota; Viridiplantae; Streptophyta; Magnoliopsida; Poales; Poaceae. The record is from RNAcentral.